Long non-coding RNA from Juglans microcarpa x Juglans regia, 146 nucleotides. RefSeq lists it as uncharacterized. NCBI's taxonomy places the organism in Eukaryota, Viridiplantae, Streptophyta, Magnoliopsida, Fagales, Juglandaceae. The transcript has 3 exons. The record is from RefSeq and is a predicted model, not a curated record.
AUAUUUUUGUAAUAGAUGGCUUUUUUCUUUGCGUAUGCUUCUUUUUAAUUCACAUCAUGCCUUUGCACCUUUACUUCUUUCUUGGAAGAAUUAAUAUUCUAGUUCUUUUGGUUUAUUUGUUUUUGUUUAUCUGUGGAUUUUUGAGA